This 464-nucleotide ribosomal RNA is filed under the name uncultured bacterium. RNAcentral describes it as "bacterial SSU rRNA". It matches the Rfam family "Bacterial small subunit ribosomal RNA", at positions 330 to 792 of the family's 1533-position model. The record is from RNAcentral.
GCCAGACUCCUACGGGAGGCAGCAGUGAGGAAUAUUGGUCAAUGGGCUAAGGCCUGAACCAGCCAAGUCGCGUGAGGGAAGACGGUCCUAUGGAUUGUAAACCUCUUUUGUCGGGGAGCAACGAGGCCACGUGUGGCCGAAGUGAGAGUACCCGAAGAAAAAGCAUCGGCUAACUCCGUGCCAGCAGCCGCGGUAAUACGGAGGAUGCGAGCGUUAUCCGGAUUUAUUGGGUUUAAAGGGUGCGCAGGCGGAGGUGCAAGUCAGCGGUCAAAUUGCGGGGCUCAACCCCGUACUGCCGUUGAAACUGCAUCCCUUGAGUGCGCGGAACGUAUGCGGAAUUCGUGGUGUAGCGGUGAAAUGCUUAGAUAUCACGAAGAACUCCGAUUGCGAAGGCAGCAUACGGCAGCGCUACUGACGCUGAAGCUCGAAGGCGCGGGUAUCGAACAGGAUUAGAUACCCGUGUA